This 366-nucleotide ribosomal RNA is filed under the name uncultured bacterium. RNAcentral describes it as "partial 16S ribosomal RNA". It matches the Rfam family "Bacterial small subunit ribosomal RNA", at positions 338 to 701 of the family's 1533-position model. The record is from RNAcentral.
CCUACGGGUGGCAGCAGUGAGGAAUAUUGGUCAAUGGGCGCGAGCCUGAACCAGCCAAGUAGCGUGAAGGAUGACUGCCCUACGGGUUGUAAACUUCGUUUAUAAAGGAAUAAAGUGAGGCACGUGUGCCUUUUUGUAUGGACGUUAUGAAUAAGGAUCGGCUAACUCCGUGCCAGCAGCCGCGGUAAUACGGAGGAUCCGAGCGUUAUCCGGAUUUAUUGGGUUUAAAGGGAGCGUAGAGGGGUUGUUAAGUCAGUUGUGAAAGUUUGCGGCGCAACCGUAAAAUUGCACUUGAUACUGGCAGUCUUGAGUACAGUUGAGGUCGGCGGAAUUCGUGGUGUCGCGGUGAACUGCUUAGAUAUCACG